RNAcentral lists this ribosomal RNA (440 nucleotides) under uncultured bacterium. Its description in RNAcentral is "partial 16S ribosomal RNA". It matches the Rfam family "Bacterial small subunit ribosomal RNA", at positions 338 to 795 of the family's 1533-position model. The record is from RNAcentral.
CCUACGGGAGGCAGCAGUGGGGGAUAUUGCACAAUGGGGGGAACCCUGAUGCAGCGACGCCGCGUGGGUGAAGGAGCGUUUCGGCGCGUAAAGCCCUAUCGGCAGGGAAGUAGAUGACGGUACCUGGCCAAGAAGCCCCGGCUAACUACGUGCCAGCAGCCGCGGUAAUACGUAGGGGGCAAGCGUUAUCCGGAUUUACUGGGUGUAAAGGGGGCGCAGACGGCAAUGCAAGCCAGGAGUGAAAGCCCGGGGCCCAACCCCGGGAUUGCAAUUGGAACUGCAUGGCUGGAGUACAUGAGGGGCAGGCGGAAUUCCUAGUGUAGCGGUGAAAUGCGUAGAUAUUAGGAGGAACACCGGUGGCGAAGGCGGCCUGCUGGACUGUGACUGACGUUGAGGCCCGAAGGCGUGGGGAGCAAACAGGAUUAGAUACCCCAGUAGUC